Molecule: non-coding RNA, 70 nt
Organism: Eumeta japonica
Lineage: Eukaryota; Metazoa; Arthropoda; Insecta; Lepidoptera; Psychidae
Source: the annotation of a GenBank genome assembly
ACGUCGGUGGCCGAGUGGUAAAGCUUCGCCUUUGAACCAAAAUGUACCGGCUUCGAGUUCCGACCGGGUA